RNAcentral lists this ribosomal RNA (248 nucleotides) under uncultured Actinomycetales bacterium. RNAcentral's name for it is "partial 16S ribosomal RNA". It matches the Rfam family "Bacterial small subunit ribosomal RNA", at positions 83 to 334 of the family's 1533-position model. The record is from RNAcentral. Lineage: Bacteria; Bacillati; Actinomycetota; Actinomycetes; Actinomycetales.
CGGGGUACUCGAGUGGCGAACGGGUGAGUAACACGUGGGUGAUCUGCCCUGCACUUCGGGAUAAGCUUUGGAAACUGGGUCUAAUACCGGAUAGGACCGCACUUUAGUGUGUGUGGUGGAAAGUUUUUUCGGUGUAGGAUGAGCUCGCGGCCUAUCAGCUUGUUGGUGGGGUAAUGGCCUACCAAGGCGGCGACGGGUAGCCGGCCUGAGAGGGUGUACGGCCACAUUGGGACUGAGAUACGGCCCAG